RNAcentral lists this ribosomal RNA (900 nucleotides) under uncultured archaeon. Its description in RNAcentral is "bacterial SSU rRNA". It matches the Rfam family "Archaeal small subunit ribosomal RNA", at positions 455 to 1354 of the family's 1478-position model. The record is from RNAcentral.
GUGUCAGCCGCCGCGGUAAAACCAGCACCUCAAGUGGUCAGGAGGAUUAUUGGGCCUAAAGCAUCCGUAGCCUGCUCUGUAAGUUUUCGGUUAAAUCUAUAUGCUCAACAUAUAGGCUGCCGGAAAUACUGCAGAGCUAGGAAGUGGGAGAGGUAGACGGUACCCCGUAGGAAGGGGUAAAAUCCUUUGAUCUAUGGAUGACCACCAGUGGCGAAGGCGGUCUACCAGAACACGUUCGACGGUGAGGGAUGAAAGCUGGGGGAGCAAACCGGAUUAGAUACCCGGGUAGUCCCAGCUGUAAACUAUGCAAACUCGGUGAUGCAUUGGCUUGUGGCCAGUGCAGUGCCGCAGGGAAGCCGUUAAGUUUGCCGCCUGGGAAGUACGUACGCAAGUAUGAAACUUAAAGGAAUUGGCGGGGGAGCACCACAAGGGGUGAAGCCUGCGGUUCAAUUGGAGUCAACGCCAGAAAUCUUACCCGGAGAGACAGCAGAAUGAAGGUCAAGCUGAAGACUUUACCAGACAAGCUGAGAAGUGGUGCAUGGCCGUCGCCAGCUCGUGCCGUGAGAUGUCCUGUUAAGUCAGGUAACGAGCGAGAUCCUUGCCACUAGUUGCCACCAUUACUCUCAGGAGUAGUGGGGCGAAUUAGCGGGACUGCCGUAGUUAAUACGGAGGAAGGAGAGGGCCACGGCAGGUCAGUAUGCCCUGAAACUCUGGGGCCACACGCGGGCUGCAAUGAUAGUGACAAUGUGUUCCGAAUCCGAGAGGAGGAGGUAAUCCUCAAACGCUAUCACAGUUAUGACUGAGGGCUGCAACUCGCCCUCACGAAUAUGGAAUCCCUAGUAACUGCGUGUCAUUACCGCGCGGUGAAUACGUCCCUGCUCCUUGCACACACUGCCCGUC